AGGCGCGGCGAGGCGGGUGGCGCGCGGCAGCAGGGUUGGGCUCUCGCCGUGAGUCGACGAAGGGAGCGCGGGCGCGCGCCCGCGUCCGCGCACUGAGAGUCGCCUCGGCCGCUCGCUUUCUCGACUCCCGCCUCGCGCCUCGAUCCUGUUCCGCCUCCCUCGGCCCUCCUGCCCGCCCCCACUCGUCGGCCCUCAGGUUCCUGGAAAGUGAAAAUUUCAUUUCUUUGUGGACAGGUACCUAAAAUGUCUCAUUAUUCAUCAAUUAAUGAAAAACAAAUGAAAAUUUGAGAGAGAUAUUCUGAAGAAUAAAAGGAUCAAGUUGGGUCAUUUCUAAAAUCUCAGAGACCUAAUAGGAUGGGGUCUUAGAGAAACAUCUUUUGAGCCACAGACUUCUUUGUUACCAGAAGGAAAAUGAAAGAAGAAAUUUAAAUACCACUUGAAGAGAGUUUCCUCAUCAGCAAAGUCAGAAAAAGUAUGUACCUGAAGGACUGAUUGUAAGGCUGGGAUGAGAGAAUCCAUGUGAUCAGCCCUCACCAACAGGUGCUGCCCAGUUCAUGAGUGCUGCUGCUGUCCUGCCCAAGUACCCAGCUUGCAGAGUGCCAGAGUUAGAGUCCCAGGGGUGUUCUCCACAGCUGCAUGCUUGAUCCAGGCCUAUCAGCAUUGUCUUUGAAUAUUAGCAAAUAAUGGAACAUGGGCCAAGGGUGAACCAUGACGAAUUUGUGUUCCAGCAGCCCUGCUUCUUUAGAAUUGACAGUCUGGCUUCGUGGUUAAUUCACAGCAUCUGAGGAAUACAUCCAAAGAGGGUGAUACUGUGGCAUGAUGGUACCAGGAUUCCAAGUUCAUUCCAGAUCAUUGGGUAGAGACUAGAAAUGUACCGAGCAGUGCGCAAAGAAGAUGAGGAGGGUUCUACAGUUUCUCCAGAUACAUACCAUGACAAUUUGUUUUUUUAAAAAAGAAGAAAGCCUGCAGGAGAUUGUGGGGACAGCAGAAUGUGACUUCCAAGGCUAGGUCCUGAAAGAUGCUGUGACUUUCGCCUGAGUCUCUUGGAUCACUCGCUCUGGGGGAGGACUGCUGUCAUGUCAUGAGGACACUCAGGCAUCCCCAUGGAAAAGUCUGCAUGGCGGCAUGAAGCAAGUCCUUGCUGAAGGUCCAGGGCAUGGCAAGAGAACCUGAGUUUAAGAAGCAGACAUCACCUGCUGGCAGCAGGCAGUAUCCUCUCAGUCAGCCUUGAUGUCCCCUUCCCUGGAUCCUCACUUCUCAUGGCAAUCUCCCCGUCUCCUCAGGUGGGGAUGGGAUGAACAGAUUCAUAGACUAUCCUUUGGGGAACCCUCGUCCUCACGGGAUGUAUGUUCAUGGUGGUGUCUUCGAGUUUGUGCCCUUGUGAAGCAUUCUGGCAGCAAGCAUCUGAACACUUCCAAAAGGGGGCGAUAUUUAGGAGAAAUCGCUCAGCCUGAGUUAGAACAAAUGCAGCUGCUGGUGUCUCUUGGUGCCUGGGAGCCCUAGAGUGUCAGAGGGAGGAGCGUGCACACUGGAACCAGCAGCCUGGUGCUGCGUCUCAGCUCUGUCGCUAACUGGCUAUGCACCUCUGGGCAUGGCACUUAACCCUUCUGAGCCCCAGCCCGCCAUCUGUAAAAAGGGCUUGAUGUGAGGAUUGAAUGAGAUCAUGCAGGGAACACAAUGUCUGGCACUUGGAAGCGUCCACCAUAAAGAGCCAAGGCAGUAGAUGGCCCAGCUGGGUUUGGUCCAGGCAGAGUUUACCCUCUGCCCUGGAGGCUCCAGGAAAUGCUGCCACGUGGCUCCUAUUGCCUUAACCACAUCCGACCUGUUCCUGACAGCUCCCCACAUCUCCAGCUCCUUUGCUGGUGCUCCAGGCACCUCCAAACGUGGCGAGCCCCUCUCCCCUGCCCUCUUGUGGCAGCUGACCUGGCAGGAGUGGGACCAAGACAUCCAAGGCAGCUCCUUUCCACCUGCAUGGGCACUUUCCUCAGGACAUCCUUGCCCCUGGCACCACCUUGGGCCAGCAAGCCACAUGGAAAUGGAUGCAGAGGCACCACUGUUUGCUGACAAUUAUACACUGUCCUUAAGGUCACCCUUGGCGAUCUGUCACCAGGAGCAGACAAACCCACACCUCAACCAUCCCAUCAGAGCUUGUUUCUAUCUGCAUCUGUCAUCGCUGAUCGCAUUUGAAUGGGUUUAGUCUCUAUUUUAAAUAAAAGAUUUAUGCCUUAGCUGUCAGAGCCUGCCUUUAUUUGAAAAUUUAAUCUUGUUUCUAGGAGUCUAGAUUAACUUAUUAGAUUUAGGCGUCCCUCGUGGGUCUCUGAGAGAGGAGGAGUAGAUUCUCCUCCCUGCAUUCGGCCCUGCACACCCGACAGUGAGAGCCAAGAGCUGGAUGGGCUUCUCCAUCCAGCACGCCCAGGCUGGACAGAGGCCCCCAACUCAGGCAACUUUGUCGGGUAACCGUGUGUCCAGGGAGUGCUUUCUUGCACGCUCCGUCUCCGGGCCAGCUUCCAGGACCUGUGCUCACUGCAAGGGACACCCAUCAAGCCGGCCCUUUCUCAGAGGUUUUGGGGAGGCUUCAGGAAGGACCCCCAGUGGGGGCCCAGCUUGUCAACAUGGGCUGUGCCAAGGAGUUCUGAGUUUCCUUCAGGUCUGUAUUGUAUCUUCCACCCCCUCAGAGCUCCCUCCCUACUGCUUAGACCACACGAAGCUGUGGGGCUGUGGGCAGCCAGUUCACUUCCCUGACCUUGUCUGCAGGUGGAGACAGUGGCAGUGCCCCUCCCGGGCUGCUGCGUCACUCAGUGUAAAAGCAGGGAGGCACUGGAGAGCUGCUGUCUGCAAGUUUGUUGCUACUUCAAAAGGUGCAGGUGGGCCCUCACCUCCUUUAGAGGUGAGGAUGAGCUACCCAAAGUGAAAAGGAGCUUCUCAGCGUCGCAAUGGAGUCACGGCCAGGCUGCCCACACCAGCCGUCCGGACCUGCACCAGUGCCACGGGGUCUGCCCCAUCUUCUCUUCCCUCUCCUUCCCCUCUCCCUCUCUCUCCCUGUCUCUUUCUCCUCUCUCCAUGCUAUUGACUGAAUGUUUGAAUUCCCUGCAAAUGCAUUCCUAACCCCCAAUGUGACUGUGUUUGGAGACAGGGUCUUUAGGAGGUAACUGAGGUUAAAUGAGGUUGUAAAGAUGGGGCCCUGAACCGAUGGGACUGGGGUCCUUAUGAGAAGAGGAAAAGGGGUCCCUCCCCAUGGAGGGACGACCACAGCGAGGCAGCAGCCGCCCACACGCCAGAGAAGGGGACUCAGACGGAAGCCUUGCUUCACCGGCACCUUGAUCUUG
Homo sapiens (human) is the source of this 3326-nucleotide long non-coding RNA. NCBI's taxonomy places the organism in Eukaryota, Metazoa, Chordata, Mammalia, Primates, Hominidae. The record is from Ensembl.